Condylostylus longicornis is the source of this 321-nucleotide long non-coding RNA. RefSeq lists it as uncharacterized. The transcript has 4 exons. The record is from RefSeq and is a predicted model, not a curated record. NCBI's taxonomy places the organism in Eukaryota, Metazoa, Arthropoda, Insecta, Diptera, Dolichopodidae.
UUUACAAAUUUAUUGUGAGAAAAAUUACUUACUUAUAUUAUUAUUACUUAAUUAUUAAAUUUUUUUAAUUUUAUAAUGUAAUUUGAUAUUAAGGAUUUUGGAUAUAUUACAAAUAUUACAUAUUUUACAAAGGAACUUUUUAUCGAAAUUAUAGAGAGGAAAAGUAAAAAUGGUGUUGUCGCUAUUAUUUCGAUGCUAAUCGACUAUUUUACAGAAAAAUCGUAAUUUAUCAGGAAUUUUAAGCGAAACAAAGGGAAAAAAAAACAAUAUUUAAAAAUGAAUUCCGGCGUCAUUCUUUGAAUAAACUAAAAAUAAAAUAAG